CCCAUCCCAGCCACAUACCGUUCGGCUCUCAAAGACCCCAAUUGGCAACAUGCAAUGUGUGAUGAAUAUGAUGCUUUAAUGAAGAAUUCGACUUGGUGUUUGGUUCCUAGACCUGCAGGUGUUAACAUGGUGACCGGGAAGUGGAUCUACCGCCACAAGUUCCAUCCAGAUGGCACCUUGGCGCGAUACAAGGCACGAUUGGUUGUCCGUGGUUUUACUCAAAAAGAAGGCGUCGAUUAUGAAGAAACCUUCAGUCCGGUUGUCAAACCGGCCACUAUUCAAGCUGUCCUUAGCCUUGCCAUGUCGAGCUCGUGGCCCAUCCGUCAACUCGACUUCAAGAACGCCUUCCUUCAUGGCGACCUCAAGGAGACGGUGUACUGUGCUCAACCCUCUGGCUUCGUCGAUCCCUCCCGUCCGGACCACGUGUGUCUCCUCCGUAAGUCUCUCUACGGUUUGAAACAAGCUCCACGCACAUGGUUCCAUCGCUUUCGGAUGUUCCUCUUGUCACUUGGCUUUGUUGCCUCAAAGAGCGAUUCCUCCCUCUUCAUACUACACCGCGGCACCUCCAUCGCCUACCUACUUGUCUACGUCGAUGAUAUAAUUCUUACUGCCAGUACACCCCACACUCUUCACCAUAUCAUCCACGCCCUCAAACAUGAAUUUUCCAUGACCGAUCUUGGUGACCUUCAUCAUUUCCUCGGCAUAAAUGUCACCCCCAAUGAUUCUGGUCUCUUCUUAUGUCAGCAACAGUACGCUCUUGAGGUUCUUGAACGAGCCAACAUGCUCCACUGCAAGCCGGUUCCCACUCUGGUUGAUACCACCGCCAAGCUUUCUGCCCAAGCCGGCGCCCUCUUGGCCAACCCA
This 864-nucleotide ribosomal RNA is filed under the name Triticum aestivum (bread wheat). RNAcentral's name for it is "partial small subunit ribosomal RNA". The record is from RNAcentral. Lineage: Eukaryota; Viridiplantae; Streptophyta; Magnoliopsida; Poales; Poaceae.